UUUAGCUGGGGUAGUGGCUUUAAUAAAUUUAAGGUUGAUGAAACAGUAAAUAAUUGGUGAAGGUCCUUUAUAUUAGGAUACAUAGAGUUAGUUACUUUAGGGAUAACAGCGCUAUAGUCUCAAGGAGACCAUAUCUAUGGGAUUGAUUGCGACCUCGAUGUUGAAUUAGAAGAUCGGUGUGGAGCAGAAACCAUUACAAGAAGGUUUGUUCAACCUUUAAAUUUUUACAUGAUCAGAGUUCAGACCGGA
RNAcentral lists this ribosomal RNA (249 nucleotides) under Valettietta anacantha. Its description in RNAcentral is "partial 16S ribosomal RNA". The stretch from base 102 to 249 matches the Rfam family "Bacterial large subunit ribosomal RNA", at positions 2473 to 2620 of the family's 2925-position model. The record is from RNAcentral. Lineage: Eukaryota; Metazoa; Arthropoda; Malacostraca; Amphipoda; Valettiopsidae.